Molecule: ribosomal RNA, 393 nt
Filed under: Triticum aestivum (bread wheat)
Lineage: Eukaryota; Viridiplantae; Streptophyta; Magnoliopsida; Poales; Poaceae
Description: partial small subunit ribosomal RNA
Source: RNAcentral
GCUACUUGUGACAUUUGCGGGUGUGGAGAUGAAAAUGAAUUUCAUGCAGUAGUUAGCUCUACUAAGAGCAGAGCACUGAGGCACAAAAUAAGAGACGAAUGGGAUUUGCCAGCUGAAAAGCAGUUUCGGAACACUGGAGAGGACUGGCUGCAGGUCCUAUUGAGCACGGUUUCAGAGGAUGUGCGUGCAAAUAUCCUGUUGCUGCUUUGGAGAUGUUGGCAUCUGCGGGAUAACUGCGUACAUGGCGACGGCAAAGAGCCGAUCAUAGCAUCUGCUACCUUUUUGUCGAGAUUGAAGAAUGAAUGGAAGAAUGCAGCAGUUACUGAACCAGCAAUCGAUGGAAAAGGAUGCGGGAUAGGGACCAAACACUGCUCAUGGGAUCAGGGGAUCUGA